UUCACAUCCCAAGCUUAUCAAAAAUUUCAAAGGAAUGAAUGUUGAGAUGAUUGCAUGUGGGGAAUAUCAUUCAUGUGCUGUUACAUCCUCUGGGGAUCUAUACACUUGGGGUGAUGGUACUAAAAGUUCGGGUCUGCUUGGACACAGAAGUGAAGCCAGUCACUGGAUCCCAAAGAAAGUAUGUGGCCUCAUGGAAGGCUUAAGAGUGUCUCAUGUUUCCUGUGGGCCUUGGCAUUCAGCUCUCAUAACAUCUGCUGGCCGCCUGUUUACAUUUGGAGAUGGAACUUUUGGUGCAUUGGGUCACGGAGAUCGUUCUGGAUGUAUUACUCCUAGAGAGGUGGAAACUUUCAAUGGAUUGAAGACACUCAAGGUUGCUUGUGGUGUUUGGCACACUGCUGCUGUAGUUGAACUAAUGAGUGGAUUGGAUUCCAG
This 432-nucleotide unclassified non-coding RNA is filed under the name Hevea brasiliensis (rubber tree). Lineage: Eukaryota; Viridiplantae; Streptophyta; Magnoliopsida; Malpighiales; Euphorbiaceae. The record is from RNAcentral.